Molecule: ribosomal RNA, 716 nt
Filed under: Ruminococcus sp. AF42-9BH
Lineage: Bacteria; Bacillati; Bacillota; Clostridia; Eubacteriales; Oscillospiraceae
Also listed under: 1 other name
Description: partial 23S ribosomal RNA
Rfam family: Bacterial large subunit ribosomal RNA
Source: RNAcentral
GAGACAGUAACGCCAGUUAUUGUGGAGCCGCUGUUGGGAUACCACCCUUGCAGUAUUGGGUUUCUAACCAGCCGCCGUGACCCGGCGGUGGGACAAUGCCAGACGGGGAGUUUGACUGGGGCGGUCGCCUCCGAAAGGGUAUCGGAGGCGCCCAAAGGUUCCCUCAGAAUGGACGGAAACCAUUCGAAGAGUGCAAAGGCAGAAGGGAGCUUGACUGCGACACCGACGGGUGGAGCAGGUACGAAAGUAGGGCUUAGUGAUCCGGUGGUAUUAAGUGGGAAUGCCAUCGCUCAACGGAUAAAAGCUACCCUGGGGAUAACAGGCUUAUCACUCCCAAGAGUUCACAUCGACGGAGUGGUUUGGCACCUCGAUGUCGGCUCAUCGCAUCCUGGGGCUGUAGUAGGUCCCAAGGGUUGGGCUGUUCGCCCAUUAAAGCGGUACGCGAGCUGGGUUCAGAACGUCGUGAGACAGUUCGGUCCCUAUCCGGCGUGGGCGUAGGAUAUCUGAGAGGAGCUGUCCUUAGUACGAGAGGACCGGGAUGGACGGGCCGCUGGUGCAUCGGUUAGACUGCCAAGUCUACGGCCGAGUAGCCAAGCCCGGAAGGGAUAAACGCUGAAGGCAUCUAAGCGUGAAGCCCCCCUUAAGAUGAGAUAUCCCAUUCGAAAGAAGUAAACCCCCUUGAAGACGACGAGGUAGAUAGGGCAGAGGUGGAAGUG